This 322-nucleotide ribosomal RNA is filed under the name uncultured Sandonidae. RNAcentral describes it as "SSU rRNA". The stretch from base 106 to 322 matches the Rfam family "Eukaryotic small subunit ribosomal RNA", at positions 737 to 955 of the family's 1831-position model. Lineage: Eukaryota; Cercozoa; Glissomonadida; Viridiraptoridae. The record is from RNAcentral.
GAUUUCUGGCUUGGUGCGCCUGGCCCGCCACGGUUACGUGUGUGAGUGCCGGGUCGCGCCUGCCAUCCUUCUAGAGAACGUCUCUACCCUUCACUGGGCCGGGGGCGCUAUCUAGAUCCUUUACUUUGAAAAAAUUAGAGUGUUUAAAGCAGGCUAUUGCUAUGAAUACAUUAGCAUGGAAUAAUAAUUUAGGACUUUGGUUCUAUUUUGUUGGUUUCUAGGGCUGAAGUAAUGAUUGAUAGGGAUAGUUGGGGGUGCUAGUAUUCAGCGGCCAGAGGUGAAAUUCUUGGAUUCGCUGAAGACUAACUUAUGCGAAAGCAUU